RNAcentral lists this ribosomal RNA (748 nucleotides) under uncultured bacterium. RNAcentral's name for it is "bacterial SSU rRNA". It matches the Rfam family "Bacterial small subunit ribosomal RNA", at positions 8 to 796 of the family's 1533-position model. The record is from RNAcentral.
AGAGUUUGAUCCUGGCUCAGAACGAACGCUGGCGGCAUGCCUCAUACAUGCAAGUCGAACGAAGGCUUCGGCCUUAGUGGCGCACGGGUGAGUAGCGCGUGGGAACCUGCCCUGGAGUGGGGGAUAACCGAGGGAAACUUCGGCUAAUACCGCAUGCGCCCGGAGCAAUCCGGGGAAAGAUUUAUCGCUCUAGGAGGGGCCCGCGUCGGAUUAGCUAGUUGGUGGGGUAACGGCCUACCAAGGCAUCGAUCCGUAGCUGGUCUGAGAGGAUGAUCAGCCACACUGGGACUGAGACACGGCCCAGACUCCUACGGGAGGCAGCAGUAGGGAAUAUUGGACAAUGGGCGAAAGCCUGAUCCAGCAAUGCCGCGUGAGUGAGGAAGGCCUUAGGGUUGUAAAGCUCUUUCGGCGGGGACGAUGAUGACGGUACCCGCAGAAGAAGCCCCGGCUAACUUCGUGCCAGCAGCCGCGGUAAUACGAAGGGGGCAAGCGUUGUUCGGAAUUACUGGGCGUAAAGGGCGCGUAGGCGGCCAUCUUUGUCAGGCGUGAAAGCCCCGGGCUCAACCUGGGAAUUGCGCUUGGGACGGGGUGGCUUGAGUUCGGGAGAGGAGAGUGGAAUUCCCAGUGUAGAGGUGAAAUUCGUAGAUAUUGGGAAGAACACCGGUGGCGAAGGCGGCUCUCUGGACCGAUACUGACGCUGAGGCGCGAAAGCGUGGGGAGCAAACAGGAUUAGAUACCCUGGUAGUCC